UACAGAGGGUGCGAGCGUUAAUCGGAAUUACUGGGCGUAAAGCGUGUGUAGGUGGUUGCCGUAGUCAGGCGUGAAAGCCUUGAGCUCAACUCAAGAAAUGCGCUUGAUACUGGGCAGCUAGAGGACCGGAGAGGAUAGUGGAAUUCCCAGUGUAGUGGUGAAAUACGUAGAGAUUGGGAAGAACACCAGUGGCGAAGGCGGCUAUCUGGACGGUUUCUGACACUAAGACACGAAAGCGUGGGGAGCAAACAGG
RNAcentral lists this ribosomal RNA (253 nucleotides) under uncultured bacterium. Its description in RNAcentral is "partial 16S ribosomal RNA". It matches the Rfam family "Bacterial small subunit ribosomal RNA", at positions 524 to 776 of the family's 1533-position model. The record is from RNAcentral.